Molecule: ribosomal RNA, 433 nt
Filed under: uncultured bacterium
Lineage: Bacteria
Description: partial 16S ribosomal RNA
Rfam family: Bacterial small subunit ribosomal RNA
Source: RNAcentral
AACGAACGCUGGCGGCAGGCUUAACACAUGCAAGUCGAACGGAUCCUUCGGGAUUAGUGGCAGACGGGUGAGUAACGCGUGGGAACGUACCCUUUGCUACGGAAUAACUCAGGGAAACUUGAGCUAAUACCGUAUGUGCCCUACGGGGGAAAGAUUUAUCGGCAAAGGAUCGGCCCGCGUUGGAUUAGCUAGUUGGUGGGGUAAUGGCCUACCAAGGCGACGAUCCAUAGCUGGUCUGAGAGGAUGAUCAGCCACACUGGGACUGAGACACGGCCCAGACUCCUACGGGAGGCAGCAGUGGGGAAUAUUGGACAAUGGGCGCAAGCCUGAUCCAGCCAUGACGCGUGAGUGAUGAAGGUCUUAGGAUUGUAAAGCUCUUUCACCGGUGAAGAUAAUGACGGUAGCCGGAGAAGAAGCCCCGGCUAACUUCGUG